Molecule: ribosomal RNA, 253 nt
Filed under: uncultured bacterium
Lineage: Bacteria
Description: partial 16S ribosomal RNA
Rfam family: Bacterial small subunit ribosomal RNA
Source: RNAcentral
GACAGAGGGUGCAAACGUUGUUCGGAUUUACUGGGCGUAAAGCGCGUGUAGGCGGCUUUGCAAGUCGGAUGUGAAAGCCCACGGCUCAACCGUGGAAGUGCAUCCGAAACUGCAUGGCUCGAGUCUCGGAGAGGAAGGUGGAAUGCUUGGUGUAGAGGUGAAAUUCGUAGAUAUCAAGCAGAACACCUGCGGCGAAGGCGGCCUUCUGGACGAUGACUGACGCUGAGACGCGAAAGCGUGGGGAGCAAACAGG